Molecule: unclassified non-coding RNA, 5499 nt
Filed under: Megachile rotundata (alfalfa leafcutting bee)
Lineage: Eukaryota; Metazoa; Arthropoda; Insecta; Hymenoptera; Megachilidae
Description: uncharacterized LOC100880382, transcript variant X3
Source: RNAcentral
AAAUAAAUUACCCAGGCUUUCUCAGUGACUAGCAGUAUUUUCGAAAUCAGGUUAAAAAGUUAGAGAUCUAGUUGUUGUUUCCGUUGUGAAAGUAUUGGUUGUGCUCGAACGUAACAUCUACAUUUCCAAAUUUUCGAAAUUCACGAAUUUCAAGAUUUCUGAUAUUUCAUACCAGGUUCUCUCAUUUUCAAAUUGAUUCUCAAAUUUUUCAAUUAAAAUUGCCAAAUUUUUAUAACUUCAAGUUUCUAAAUUUUCAAAACAUCGAACUUCAAAAUUUCAAAAUGUCAAGGUACACAAUCUGUGUUUGAAAGUACACACAUAUAUGUGUGCAUCUGUGUUCAUUAUUAAUUAUCAAACAUCUAAUUAUUUUACACAAUAUUUGUAUUAGGAAAUGAGUGACAAUCGAUAAUCAACAUACGUUAUAAAAUUGCGAAAAGAAUGCUUCAUAGAAACACUGCUUUUAACACUCCUCUGUCUUCGAUAUCAUAAAGGAUAUUUCAAAUAUUAUUUUUCAUAAUAGAAACAGAAUUCAAUUUCGUAAACUAAUAUUCGUGUUAUUUUCCUUUUUUAUUUGAAACGCUCUAAAUACUCGAAAUGGUUUGUUUACCACAAUUAUUAGCUAUAAAUAAAUAAGAAUAGAGUCGAGAAAAACGUGACACGCCUGCACGCGCCAGAUUUAAAAGGUGUUCGAAAUUUUUAUCGAUAGUGGCGACUUUCGACUCAAACUUGUCAUACCGCCGAAUCAUGUGAAUCGAUGUGUAGAGACGUAGAAACACACAAACACGAGAAGUACCGUUUCUCAAAACGGUCGGUCGCGAGAGCGACGAUAAUUUGCAACGUAAACGUUGGCAUACAGUUAGUUUCAGGAAUAGAAAUCUGACGUACACUCGCGUGCAACGGAAGCUUUGUGUAGAUAACAGAAGACAUACAUCACUUAUGUUUAGUAAACGGAUAUGUAAAUGACAGCUUCUCAAAUUUCUUAAAGAUCAAAUUUCUAAAUAUUCAAUCUUCAAAUUCUUAAUUCUCACAUUGUCAAAUCCUAAAAAAUCAGGGAAAAGGAACGUCGUAGGGAAAGAAAAUAUAGCGGAGGCCUACCGUGUUUCGUACUAUGGUACACAAGUGGUACACAGAAGAAAAAUAAAGCAGUCAGCGUUUACUUUUAUUGCCCUAUGAAUGACGGAACUGAAACGUUUCUUUUUAGUGAAUAAAAGACCAGUAGCAAGAAAACUUCGGAUUAAAAAUGCACAACGGAAACGCAUCGACAUAAAAUACAUAAGAGCAUACUCGAGGGAGAAAAAGGAAAAUCGCGUCUGACGCGUAGCAAAGAGAUAAAAGCAUAGCAGUCGCGCUUUGAUAUUCAUGACGGGGAUCAAUAAUGAAAGAGAAUAUAUAUUUCUGUUGUAGCGCAAAUGAAGAACAAACGGGGAAAAAGGAACAGUGGUAACCGAAGCAAGAAGAUAGAAAAGAUGUCCAUGAAACGAAAAUAAGGACAGAAGGAAGAGGGGAUUUUAUAUCCUUACCGCUGGAUAAGGUCAGAGGGGGCGGGAGGGAGGGAGGGAGGGAACUGGAGAGAUUAACAGAUCACGAUACAAAGGCGGUUUCGCGAAGAAUAAUGCGACGAACGAACUUGAAACCAGAAGAGACGAAAGAAUCGCGUUAAACUGCAACCAGACAAAAAGCAUUUCAACCGGAACGAAUGAACAGAAAGAUACGUAGUAAAAGAGUACUCGAUCGAAACAGAGGAAAGAGAAAGCCGUACCGCGAAAAGGCAGAGCAGCAGCGGGAGGAAAGCGGUUGGAAGAAAGGAAGAGGCGAAACCGAAGAAGACAAAGCGGGAAAGCAACGAUUUUCGGAUAAGCUAAACGGCAAGGAAGCAAAAAAACAGAGGAGGCGCGUUACAUCCUGGAGUCCGAUGUUCAGAGUCGUACGAUGGCCGGGGCUCUAUCCGAGAAUGCCCCGAGGCCUGUCAGCGUCGUCGCGGUAGAUGGUGCAACCGUUGAUACCACUAGGAGCAACCAACUCAACGGACCACAGGAAACACGAGAGAAUGGCCGCUCUUUCACUUCGACGGAGGCGCAAACAGAGUUGCCGAUUCAGAAUGGUCCAGAGGCGGUCGAGGAUAUGGACGUUCGAGGUGCACGUAGAAGGGAGAGACGGAUGCGGAGACACCCUCGAGCCUUGAGAUCAUGUUCGAUGCCACCAACUUAUCCUGGAGCAUCGCCAGGAUGUCAGGCUAGCUCUACAGCACCCGGAGUACCGUUGGUUGCUCCUCCUAGGGGAUUUUUACAUCCUCCACCGCCUCAUUUGGGUCUCAGGGGUCUUAGUCUUGGCCUACCGUUUCCGGUCUCUACCAGCGUCUCUGCUUUCGGCAGGGACGCAGUGCCGAAGCAGUGUUGCGGCCUUAGUUCCCCUCCUGUACGUUGGUCCAUACUGGGUGUCGGCGUAGUGGGUCUUGUUUGUGCGGGUGCUGGUGCUCUGCUGGGGGCUCUCAGGGCGUCCGGUCGCGAUCACAUUGCUGUGGCGCUUCUUAUGAUCGGUAUAGGAGUGGUUCUGGUAACUGUGAGCGCUGUAGCGUGGCGAGUGACCAGUCGAGAAAAUUGCGGCAGUUUCUUUGGUUUCACAGGGAUCUCGAGCAGGAUUCCACCGGCGAGGCCAAUUCAUCCUUACGCUGCCAUGAUUUAUCCGGAAUUUCAAUUUAGAACACCGCCACCUAGUUAUCAGGCAAGCAUGCAAGAGUACAGAUUGCGACUGUUACUUUUGGACCGCUUGCAGCCGACAUCAUCGCCUCCGCCAACGUACAGAUCCAACGCCGGAAGUAUCGUCACUCCCGGCACGACCAGAGAAAGCAGACCACCAAGUUACUGUGGCCGAUCGUAUGCCACGACGCAUGCCAAUGUUGCACCUUCGAAGAAAGAUGCAAAUUUGGUCAGAAUCGUUCAGACCGAAUCGGAGCCGGUGAUUUUGAACGGUGAUCAAACACCGCCUGUUGCUGCCGUUGAAGUACUCGCGCAUCUCUGAUUUUUUCCAAUCAUUUUCUUUCUAUCGAUGCGGAGACGCUUAUCAGUCGAUCGACAAGAUUUUCAUGAAUAAUAACAAUCGUUAGAAGUUAUCUCCGAUGGUUCUUUGAACACGUUUGGAAACGAUGAAUAAAAGUGCUUUACGGCUGAUGUUGAAGUCGUGCCAUUUGCAGUCGCUGGAAAGUUAGCGCUGUUUGCGAUGGAUGGAAUAUCAUACAGAACCGUGAUAACUGUGGUCAUGGUUUAAAUUAAUGGAUCCGUGAUUGUAUAAUUGACAGGGGUAUCGAAUGUCUUGACCAUUUGUUUCUUUUCUCCAACGGUCAGUAUUGUCUGUCACCCUUUUAUCUGCUUUCGUUUUAUGGUCGUAGAAAAAGAGUGAAAGAACGACGCUAAUGGGAAGAAACAUGGUCGCGAUUAUUAACGUUUUAUCGUAAAAAAACUAUUUUCGCAGUUAGUGAUGAAAUUAGAUGAUAUUGAGGGUUUUAAAAUUAAUGAAAGUUUCAUUAAGUAGGUACAUUCGAGAGCAAAGUUAGAAUUCCUUUGGAUAGGAAUGAAUGUAGAAUGACACAUCACAAAUGUGUAAAUUUAAAAAUUUUUUAAUAUUCGAAUUUGAAAAUUUAAAAAUUUACUUGAAAAAUUUUCACAUUGCUUAUUCUGCGAUUUUUCUCUAUGGAAAGCUACAUUUGCUUCCUGGUGUACCGUAGAAACUUCAAAUUGCGAAACCAUGUUACCUUAUAACACGCGUAUUUUGCAUAAAGUUGUAUCUAAAAAAUAAUGUCGUUGUCACGUUCAUUCGUUUAAGGAUUAACUUAUUCUGUACAAGAGAGGCCAACUUUUCGGGGCAUCGCUUUGUAAAUAUCAAUGUUGAAAUUUUAAACUUGUAAUUUGUAUUAUAAAAUAGUAUGUUACAAAAGGGUGCGCGAUGUGGAACGUGUUGACUAUGUGUACAUCAUGCUGGUAGAAACUUUUAAGGUCUUCCUGUUGUUACAAUUACUCAUACCUAACUUCGAGAAACAGAAAGGUUACAAACGCCACAAAUUUACAUCACUGUACAAUGAUUGUAAUAUUUUGGAAAUUAUUUUUUAAAGUAAAAAAAUUGCAACGUGUUAUAAAAUGGUUUUGCAAUAAUUAUAAAUUUUAUUAUGAUUCGUCGACGCUGGUACUAAUAGCAACAAAACCAUUUUGAUUAUUAUAUAUUUUUUUUUUUAAUUAGACCGUGAGAUUAUUUUUUCGUUGAAAGCUGCAUUAACUUGUUUUAUUACAUCGCCACAAAAGAUGGUACUUUAGUGAAUAAAUAAAUAAUGCAGCUUUAAAAUAACGAUGCUGUCGUAAGCUUUAACGCCAUACAGUAAUAUUUACUGCUCGCUUUAUUAUUACGACUUGCGACGACCACAAUUUUAUCGUCGAGAGUCGAUAAAAAAACGAGAAUCUCGUGUGUUGCGUACAAUAUAUACAUAUUUUUGUAACUAUUAUUUGAUGGUUAAAAACCCGAGUUACGCGCAUUAUUGUACUGUCGGUUUUUAUAUACAGUAAUAAAAUUUCUGUUUUACAACUUUACGGUACUUCAAAGUACUACGGAAAAUUUUUGUAAAUUUUUACAAAUUUAAAAAAUUUCGUUCGUCGAUUAACAUCGAAAUAUUUAUUAACUACCUAAUAGUUUUGUCAUUUCUUUCUUCAUUAGUAUUAAGCAAUCGUGAUAAAAAAUUUGAACUGCAAAAUACUCAACGAAUGACUUUAAUAUACUUCAAGUUUAUACCUAUAAGUAUAAACUUCAUUUUGAUAUCUUUUUAUACAGUCAUUUUUAUUCUAAAGUUUCUUGUAUUUACUGCUUUUUUUAAUUAUGAUUUAUCGAAAACACCUUUAAGGUAAUUUGCAUCACUCUGUGAUUACUUCGUUAUUGUUAAAUUGGUGUAGGUAAAUAACAGAUACAUAUUUUAUGCAUUUUUAACACGUUACCAAGGGUAAUAGAAGUUUCUCCAUUUUUUAAAUUUAACAGUUAUGCGAAUAUACAAUUAAAAAAAUUAAUAACACAAGAUGAAAACAGAACCAACAAUAAGAAUUAGCUGCAACUAUUGCGGAGCGAUAAUAGUUACUGCCUAACGACAAAAUAUAAAUUGAUGUGUAUUUUUAGGCAUCGAUAAAUUACAUUCCAUUCAGUACAAAGCGGACAUAGAAUUAUUGUUUCUUUUAGUAAUUGUACAAUGUUAGAUGCCUAUAUGUGUAUUUUAAUGAUUGUAUUUUGUCGAAUGCUGUAUAUACAAUACCGACAGAAUUAACGAUAGGUAGAGUUGUAAGAGUGGUAAUUAAUACAAGGGCGACAAAUUUCGAAAGGCGGCCUUAACCAAACUCGCAAUGAUUCGUGAUAUGAGAAUAGAUCAACUAUAAGUCAUCGAUCGAAUGAGUAUAUUGUUCCUUCAUAUUAUUGUAGAACAAUUUGUAUAUAUACGAGAACAAAUAUAUUUAUCUGACUUAUUUGACCUUC